GACGAACGCUGGCGGCGUGCUUAACACAUGCAAGUCGAACGGACAGGUCCUGCUUUUGUGGGGUGCUCGAGUGGCGAACGGGUGAGUAACACGUGAGUAACCUGCCCUUGACUUUGGGAUAACUUCAGGAAACUGGGGCUAAUACCGGAUAGGAGCUCCUGCUGCAUGGUGGGGGUUGGAAAGUUUCGGCGGUUGGGGAUGGACUCGCGGCUUAUCAGCUUGUUGGUGGGGUAGUGGCUUACCAAGGCUUUGAAGGGUAGCCGGCCUGGGAGGGUGACCGGCCACAUUGGGACUGAGAUACGGCCCAGACUCCUACGGGAGGCAGCAGUGGGGAAUAGUGCACAAUGGGCGGAAGCCUGAUGCAGCAACGCCGCGUGCGGGAAGACGGCCUUCGGGUUGUAAACCGCUUUCGCCUGUGACGAAGCGUGAGUGACGGUAAUGGGUAAAGAAGCACCGGCUAACUACGUG
This 468-nucleotide ribosomal RNA is filed under the name uncultured bacterium. RNAcentral describes it as "partial 16S ribosomal RNA". It matches the Rfam family "Bacterial small subunit ribosomal RNA", at positions 28 to 507 of the family's 1533-position model. The record is from RNAcentral.